This 274-nucleotide ribosomal RNA is filed under the name uncultured bacterium. Its description in RNAcentral is "partial 16S ribosomal RNA". It matches the Rfam family "Archaeal small subunit ribosomal RNA", at positions 473 to 747 of the family's 1478-position model. The record is from RNAcentral.
AAACCAGCACCUCAAGUGGUCAGGAUGAUUAUUGGGCCUAAAGCAUCCGUAGCCGGCUCUGUAAGUUUUCGGUUAAAUCUGUACGCUUAACGUACAGGCUGCUGGGAAUACUGCAAAGCUAGGGAGUGGGAGAGGUAGACGGUACUCGGGAGGAAGGGGUAAAAUCCUUUGAUCUCUCGAUGACCACCUGUGGCGAAGGCGGUCUACCAGAACACGUCCGACGGUGAGGGAUGAAAGCUGGGGGAGCAAACCGGAUUAGAAACCCCAGUAGUCC